Molecule: long non-coding RNA, 1392 nt
Organism: Mustela lutreola (European mink)
Lineage: Eukaryota; Metazoa; Chordata; Mammalia; Carnivora; Mustelidae
Exons: 2
Source: RefSeq, a predicted model, not a curated record
UGAUGGGGAGGUCGGCGCUGCUUCAGCCGUGCGGGCCCGGAGGGGGCUUCGGGCGAGCAUCCCUCCCGGCCCCCGCGGCCUCCUGGAGCCCACAUUUAGCUUGUAAGGGUUGGAUGGGGCCGGAACCAUGAAGGCAACUGGAUUAGUCAAGUGUGGACUCUCGGGAGAGUGGCGCAGGCAGCCCAAGAUGGUUGCUAAUCUGGAAAUAGUAACAUUUCUCGCCCCCCAACCCCGAGAAUUAUAUCACCUCCUGAGUAAGCCUCGACAGUUGGGAACGGGCUUCCCCGCAUUUCCCUCAGCUUUGACGGCGCAUCUUCACCCUUUCUUUGGAACGACCUUUGUUUCCCGAUUUCAAACCCUGCCCAGCACUUCUCAGACCACGAAUCGUCCACAAACCAGAAGCUGCAGGCGGGCAGGGAUUUCUUCUUGUUCGUGAUAAUAUGCCAGCAUCUCAUGCAAUGCCUGGUUCACAGUAGACCUUCAAUAAGCAUAUAAUGAGAGAUUUCUGUGUCUACUCUCCUCAGACAUGCAAGUUAUUUUCUUAAGACAAAUGAGCCUGUGAACCCCAGUUGCUCUGUCUGAAAGGCUCUUCAUAUAAUAACCAAAGAUUCUAGAAUCAGUCUCAGGAAAAAGGCAGAAAAAUCUAGCCCAAGAGAUUAAAAGAACUAGAUUCCAACAAAGUGACAGUGAUCAGCUUCAGCACAAGAAAGCCAGAAACUGUAGAUAGGAUAAUGUCAGAAGACAACUCUAUAAGGUAAGCUGUGGGUAGUAGUUGCAUUAAGAAAGAAGGGAUGACUUGGGGUGCCUGGCUGGCUUGGUCCGUGGAGCGUGUGGCUCCUGGUCUCAGGAUUGUGAGUUCAAGCCCUGCCUAGAGAAGAAAGGAAAGGAAAGAAAAGAGGAGAAAAGAAAAGAAAAGGAAGAGGGUGGAGAAAGAAAAGGAACAAGAAGGGAGGAAGGGAGGGAAAAGAAGGAAGAAGGGAAGGAGGGAAGGAAGGAAGGAAGGAACAAACAGGGAGGGAGGAAGGAAGGGAGAAAGGAAGAGAGAGAGAGAGAGAAGGAAAAGAAGGAAGGAAGGAAGGAAGGGCAGACUGACUUAAAAUGACUUAAUCUUGGUGCCCAGAAUGAGGAUGAAAAGAAGCCUAGACCUUUGAGAAAAUAUUGGGGGUUCAUCAGCCCUGGCAAUGCAGUAGAUUUCCAAGUUGGCUUUGACUUCAAUAAGCUGCUGGUCAUUUGGGGGCACCUGGAUGGCUCAGCCUUCAGCUCCGGUCAUGAUCUCAGGUCCUUGGGAUCGAACCCCGCGUGGGGCUCCCCACUCAGCGGGGCAUCUGCUUGUCCCUCUCCCUCUGCCCUUCACCCCCACUCGUGCUCUUGCUCUUAAAAAAAAAAAAAGAA